Molecule: ribosomal RNA, 199 nt
Filed under: uncultured bacterium
Lineage: Bacteria
Description: partial 16S ribosomal RNA
Rfam family: Bacterial small subunit ribosomal RNA
Source: RNAcentral
ACGCUCGACACCUACGGGAGACAGCAGUGGGGGAUAUUGCACAAUGGGGGAAACCCUGAUGCAGCGACGCCGCGUGGAGGAAGAAGGUUUUCGGAUUGUAAACUCCUGUCGUUAGGGACGAAUUCUGACGGUACCUAACAAGAAAGCACCGGCUAACUACGUGCCGGCAGCCGCGGUAAUCUGAGCGGGCUGGCAAGGC